GUCGGAUUAUGACUGAACGCCUCUAAGUCAGAAUCCGUGCCAGAAACGAGAACGUGUGCCCGAUGACGCGAGUAUCGAUAGCUUCGGCCUGUACCGUAUGAUUGCGCACCGGGUCCUCUCUUGAGAAGAGGGGCCUUGUCGCUGAAUAGCAAUUUCAAACAUGGGGCAUGGGAGAUCCUUUGUAGACGACUUAACAAGCAACGGGGUAUUGUAAGCAGUAGAGUAGCCUUGUUGCUACGAUCUGCUGAGAUUAA
This 254-nucleotide ribosomal RNA is filed under the name Ditylum brightwellii. RNAcentral's name for it is "partial Eukaryotic large subunit ribosomal RNA". It matches the Rfam family "Eukaryotic large subunit ribosomal RNA", at positions 3108 to 3380 of the family's 3401-position model. The record is from RNAcentral. Lineage: Eukaryota; Bacillariophyta; Thalassiosirophyceae; Lithodesmiales; Lithodesmiaceae.